RNAcentral lists this ribosomal RNA (393 nucleotides) under uncultured bacterium. Its description in RNAcentral is "partial 16S ribosomal RNA". It matches the Rfam family "Bacterial small subunit ribosomal RNA", at positions 523 to 918 of the family's 1533-position model. The record is from RNAcentral.
AUACGGAGGAUCCGAGCGUUAUCCGGAUUUAUUGGGUUUAAAGGGAGCGUAGGCGGACGCUUAAGUCAGUUGUGAAAGUUUGCGGCUCAACCGUAAAAUUGCAGUUGAUACUGGGUGUCUUGAGUACAGUAGAGGCAGGCGGGAAUCGGGGGGUAGGGGGUGAAUGCUUAGAUAUCACGAAGAACACCGAUUGCGAAGGCAGCCUGCUGGACUGUAACUGACGCUGAUGCUCGAAAGUGUGGGUAUCAAACAGGAUUAGAUACCCUGGUAGUCCACACAGUAAACGAUGAAUACUCGCUGUUUGCGAUAUACAGUAAGCGGCCAAGCGAAAGCGUUAAGUAUUCCACCUGGGGAGUACGCCGGCAACGGUGAAACUCAAAGGAAUUGACGGGG